GGGGAAUCUUGCACAAUGGGCGAAAGCCUGAUGCAGCGACGCCGCGUGCGGGAAGGAGGCCCUCGGGUCGUAAACCGCUUUCAGCAGGGACGAGGCCGCGAGGUGACGGUACCUGCAGAAGAAGCCCCGGCUAACUACGUGCCAGCAGCCGCGGUAAUACGUAGGGGGCGAGCGUUAUCCGGAUUCAUUGGGCGUAAAGCGCGCGUAGGCGGCCAGCUAGGUCGGGAGUCAAAUCCGGGGGCUCAACCCCCGCCCGCUCCCGAUACCGGCCGGCUUGAGUCUGGCAGGGGAAGGCGGAAUUCCCGGUGUAGCGGUGGAAUGCGCAGAUAUCGGGAAGAACACCGGUGGCGAAGGCGGCCUUCUGGGCCACGACUGACGCUGAGGCGCGAAAGCUGGGGGAGCGAACA
Molecule: ribosomal RNA, 407 nt
Filed under: uncultured Olsenella sp.
Lineage: Bacteria; Bacillati; Actinomycetota; Coriobacteriia; Coriobacteriales; Atopobiaceae
Description: bacterial SSU rRNA
Rfam family: Bacterial small subunit ribosomal RNA
Source: RNAcentral